GCUUCUUUUUCCACCGGAGCUUGCUCCACCGGAAAAAGAGGAGUGGCGAACGGGUGAGUAACACGUGGGUAACCUGCCCAUCAGAAGGGGAUAACACUUGGAAACAGGUGCUAAUACCGUAUAACAAUCAAAACCGCAUGGUUUUGAUUUGAAAGGCGCUUUCGGGUGUCGCUGAUGGAUGGACCCGCGGUGCAUUAGCUAGUUGGUGAGGUAACGGCUCACCAAGGCCACGAUGCAUAGCCGACCUGAGAGGGUGAUCGGCCACAUUGGGACUGAGACACGGCCCAAACUCCUACGGGAGGCAGCAGUAGGGAAUCUUCGGCAAUGGACGAAAGUCUGACCGAGCAACGCCGCGUGAGUGAAGAAGGUUUUCGGAUCGUAAAACUCUGUUGUUAGAGAAGAACAAGGAUGAGAGUAACUGUUCAUCCCUUGACGGUAUCUAACCAGAAAGCCACGGCUAACUACGUGCCAGCAGCCGCGGUAAUACGUAGGUGGCAAGCGUUGUCCGGAUUUAUUGGGCGUAAAGCGAGCGCAGGCGGUUUCUUAAGUCUGAUGUGAAAG
Molecule: ribosomal RNA, 561 nt
Filed under: uncultured bacterium
Lineage: Bacteria
Description: bacterial SSU rRNA
Rfam family: Bacterial small subunit ribosomal RNA
Source: RNAcentral